GACGAGCCACCCAAACGUUAUUCGGAAUUACUGGGCUUAAAGGGUGCGUAGGCGGUGCAGCAAGUCGGGAGUGAAAUACCUCAGCUUAACUGAGGAACUGCUUUCGAUACUGCUGUGCUUGAGUAAGACAGAGGUAAGCGGAACUUAGGGUGGAGCGGUGAAAUGCGUUGAUAUCCUAAGGAACACCGGUGGCGAAGGCGGCUUACUGGGUCGUUAACUGACGCUGAGGCACGAAAGCCAGGGUAGCAAACGG
This 253-nucleotide ribosomal RNA is filed under the name uncultured bacterium. Its description in RNAcentral is "partial 16S ribosomal RNA". It matches the Rfam family "Bacterial small subunit ribosomal RNA", at positions 524 to 775 of the family's 1533-position model. The record is from RNAcentral.